UCAAUGGUAGUCCGGGCGGGGCUUCCGCAAGGAAGGCCGGUAUCAAUUGGACCCGGUAACGCCAACCCUGUUCGGGCUGCCACCA
This 85-nucleotide non-coding RNA is filed under the name Morganella morganii. The record is from RNAcentral. Lineage: Bacteria; Pseudomonadati; Pseudomonadota; Gammaproteobacteria; Enterobacterales; Morganellaceae.